This 497-nucleotide ribosomal RNA is filed under the name uncultured bacterium. Its description in RNAcentral is "partial 16S ribosomal RNA". It matches the Rfam family "Bacterial small subunit ribosomal RNA", at positions 28 to 507 of the family's 1533-position model. The record is from RNAcentral.
GAUGAACGCUGGCGGCGUGCCUAAUACAUGCAAGUCGAGCGAACAGACGAGGAGCUUGCUCCUCUGACGUUAGCGGCGGACGGGUGAGUAACACGUGGAUAACCUACCUAUAAGACUGGGAUAACUUCGGGAAACCGGAGCUAAUACCGGAUAAUAUAUUGAACCGCAUGGUUCAAUAGUGAAAGACGGUUUUGCUGUCACUUAUAGAAGGAUCCGCGCCGCAUUAGCUAGUUGGUAAGGUAACGGCUUACCAAGGCAACGAUGCGUAGCCGACCUGAGAGGGUGAUCGGCCACACUGGAACUGAGACACGGUCCAGACUCCUACGGGAGGCAGCAGUAGGGAAUCUUCCGCAAUGGGCGAAAGCCUGACGGAGCAACGCCGCGUGAGUGAUGAAGGUCUUCGGAUCGUAAAACUCUGUUAUUAGGGAAGAACAAAUGUGUAAGUAACUAUGCACGUCUUGACGGUACCUAAUCAGAAAGCCACGGCUAACUACGUG